GUCUCCACAUCAUGGGCAACCCAGAGAGGUGUGCCUUUGGAGGACAUAUGUGCUGCGGCCACAUGUGCAUCACCGAGCACAUUCUCCAGGUUUUACAGGAUGAAUGUCGCCACCCCUCAUCCAUUAGCCGCGGUUCUUCUGCAGAGUCCUGAGGCCCACAUCUCCUCUGUUACAGAAACUAUAUAUUCAUCAGUGUGUUGUGUUGCAACAUUUUGGCCCUCCAUUUCAGUAAGGAAAAGGCAGCGAGACAACUGAAAAGACUCAAACAUUGUAAACCCUAUAGUAGAGCUUUGCCUUCCAGCCAACCAUGUACAUACACAAAAGAAUAUCUCUAGAGAUGUACACUCUGCCCUCAGGCUGCCACAAAAGGUUCUGGGUUGAACUCUGGAUGUCUUCAAAUCCUUGAAUCAAACCUAAUCAUAACAUUUAAAAGGUUACGUACCGGCUAUGGACUUCAUGCACAAGGAAACGAUGUCCAUUAUGUUUGUGUUGUUUGUAGAAUUUACAUCAAUGCUGGACUAUAAGCUGUAAACUAAUGAUGGAAAUAGUUUCCUGUCCUCAGCAUGUGAUUUUAAUAGAUAUAGCUAUAUCUCAGAGUGUGAUAACAUCUCAGCAAUCUGGUUUUACCAAAUGCAUACAGAUCUAAAUUGUAGCAAACUUUUGAUUUCAUAGAGGUGCUGGCCCCAGACUGAGAAAUUGGAUUUGAGGACCUUGAGGGACUUUUUAUGUGGCAAAACAAAGAUUAUGCAUCUGCGGCUCAUCUAUUCAGUUAGUUCCCCCGUUUCUCUGCAAAAAGUAAUUAUAGCGAGUUCAAAGGUUUGAUACAUCGGUGUUAAAUAUUGUAUAGAGCUAUACAUUCUCUAAAAUGUAUUCUGUACAUGUCUUGCUAUAACAAUAGCAACACCAGCUGUAAUAGUUUUCUGUAAUGUGCAUUCCAUUUGCAACAAACUGUUAUCCAUUCCACAAAAUACCUCCUAUACAUAUGUAGAGCCAUGGAGCAAGCACAAUGUGACAGUCACACCUCUGCAGGGUUGCAGUCCUGCUCUGAUUAUUGUGUUUUUCUGAAAGAUGGCAUAUAACUUUGCUUUCCAAACAUAAUUCUCCAUUUUCUAUCUGUUUUUUUGCUGUGCAUAUUCAUGCUCUACCAGUGAAACUCCCUUUCCGGAGACCUGAUAACCUUCCUCUAUCACCAAAUACUGUUGUCUCUAGACAGCCAAGCUGUCUUUUUUCAUUUUCAUUUCACCUUGUGCUCAGGUAGACACUUUAUUUACAUGAUAUUUGUUGCCACAUUUAUAAGAUUGUCAUUAAAGUCCUUUGAAUGUAAAAUCCAACGAUUAUGCAAAAUGAUCG
Molecule: long non-coding RNA, 1350 nt
Filed under: Cottoperca gobio
Lineage: Eukaryota; Metazoa; Chordata; Actinopteri; Perciformes; Bovichtidae
Description: lncRNA (ENSCGOG00000010155.1)
Source: RNAcentral